This 492-nucleotide ribosomal RNA is filed under the name uncultured bacterium. Its description in RNAcentral is "partial 16S ribosomal RNA". It matches the Rfam family "Bacterial small subunit ribosomal RNA", at positions 29 to 507 of the family's 1533-position model. The record is from RNAcentral.
AGUGAACGCUGGCGGUAGGCCUAACACAUGCAAGUCGAACGGCAGCACAGUAAGAGCUUGCUCUUACGGGUGGCGAGUGGCGGACGGGUGAGGAAUACAUCGGAAUCUACUUUUUCGUGGGGGAUAACGUAGGGAAACUUACGCUAAUACCGCAUACGACCUACGGGUGAAAGCAGGGGAUCUUCGGACCUUGCGCGAUUGAAUGAGCCCAUGUCGGAUUAGCUAGUUGGCGGGGUAAAGGCCCACCAAGGCGACGAUCCGUAGCUGGUCUGAGAGGAUGAUCAGCCACACUGGAACUGAGACACGGUCCAGACUCCUACGGGAGGCAGCAGUGGGGAAUAUUGGACAAAGGGCGCAAGCCUGAUCCAGCCAUACCGCGUGGGUGAAGAAGGCCUUCGGGUUGUAAAGCCCUUUUGUUGGGAAAGAAAAGCAGCAGGUUAAUACCCCGCUGUUCUGACGGUACCCAAAGAAUAAGCACCGGCUAACUUCGUG